Molecule: ribosomal RNA, 321 nt
Filed under: Agrilactobacillus composti
Lineage: Bacteria; Bacillati; Bacillota; Bacilli; Lactobacillales; Lactobacillaceae
Description: bacterial SSU rRNA
Rfam family: Bacterial small subunit ribosomal RNA
Source: RNAcentral
CCCAAAAACUAGAAGGAACAACGCCGCGAGAGAGAAGAAGGUUUCGGCUCGUAUUUUCAAGAUAUCGGAGAAGAUAGGGGUAAGAGUCCCUGUUUACCUCCUGACGGUAUCCGACCAGAAAGCCACGGCUAACUACGUGCCAUCAGCCGCGGUAAUACGUAGGUGGCAAGCGUUGUCCGGAUUUAUUGGGCGUAAAGCGAGCGCAGGCGGUUUUUUAAGUCUGAUGUGAAAGCCUUCGGCUCAACCGAAGAAGUGCAUCGGAAACUGGGAAACUUGAGUGCAGAAGAGGACAGUGGAACUCCAUGUGUAGCGGUGGAUUAU